GACGAACGCUGGCGGCGUGCCUAAUACAUGCAAGUUGAGCGAUGAAGCUUGGUGCUUGCCCCAAUUUGAAGAGCAGCGAACGGGUGAGUAACGCGUGGGGAAUCUGCCUUUGAGCGGGGGACAACAUCUGGAAACGAAUGCUAAUACCGCAUAACAACUUUAAACAUAAGUUUUAAGUUUGAAAGAUGCAAUUGCAUCACUCAAAGACGAACCCGCGUUGUAUUAGCUAGUUGGUGAGGUAAAGGCUCACCAAGGCGAUGAUACAUAGCCGACCGGAGAGGGUGGUCGGCCACAUUGGGACUGAGACACGGCCCAAACUCCUACGGGAGGCAGCAGUAGGGAAUCUUCGGCAAUGGACGAAAGUCUGACCGAGAAACGCCGCGGGAGUGAAGAAGGUUUUCGGAUCGUAAAACUCUGUUGGUAGAGAAGAACGUUGGUGAGAGUGGAAAGCUCAGCAAGUGACGGUAACUAACCAGAAAGGGACGGCUAACUACGUG
This 497-nucleotide ribosomal RNA is filed under the name uncultured bacterium. RNAcentral's name for it is "partial 16S ribosomal RNA". It matches the Rfam family "Bacterial small subunit ribosomal RNA", at positions 28 to 507 of the family's 1533-position model. The record is from RNAcentral.